UCUGGUGACAAUGGCAAAGAGGUCACACCUGUUCCCAUGCCGAACACAGAAGUUAAGCUCUUUAGCGCCGAUGG
This 74-nucleotide ribosomal RNA is filed under the name Proteus mirabilis. The record is from RNAcentral. RNAcentral also lists the same sequence under 3 other names. Lineage: Bacteria; Pseudomonadati; Pseudomonadota; Gammaproteobacteria; Enterobacterales; Morganellaceae.